AGGCGCGCAAAUUACCCACUCCCGGCACGGGGAGGUAGUGACGAAAAAUAACGAUACGGGACUCAUCCGAGGCCCCGUAAUCGGAAUGAGAACAAUUUAAAUCCUUUAACGAGGAUCAAUUGGAGGGCAAGUCUGGUGCCAGCAGCCGCGGUAAUUCCAGCUCCAAUAGCGUAUAUUAAAGUUGUUGCGGUUAAAAAGCUCGUAGUCGAAUCUGUGUCCCGCGCCGCCGGUUCGUCGCUCGCGGCGUUUAACUGGCGUGUCCGCGGGACGUCCUGCCGGUGGGCUUAGCCUUUUUAUUAAGGCGGCCCAAUCUUAAUCCCGCCGCGGUGCUCUUCACCGAGUGUCGAGGCGGGCCGGCACGUUUACUUUGAACAAAUUAGAGUGCUUAAAGCAGGCUAAAACUUCGCCUGAAUACUUCGUGCAUGGAAUAAUGGAAUAGGACCUCGGUUCUAUUUUGUUGGUUUUCGGAACCCCGAGGUAAUGAUUAAUAGGAACGGAUGGGGGCAUUCGUAUUGCGACGUUAGAGGUGAAAUUCUUGGAUCGUCGCAAGACGGACAGAAGCGAAAGCAUUUGCCAAAAACGUUUUCAUUGAUCAAGAACGAAAGUUAGAGGUUCGAAGGCGAUCAGAUACCGCCCUAGUUCUAACCAUAAACGAUGCCAGCUAGCGAUCCGCCGACGUUCCUCCGAUGACUCGGCGGGCAGCUUCCGGGAAACCAAAGCUUUUGGGUUCCGGGGGAAGUAUGGUUGCAAAGCUGAAACUUAAAGGAAUUGACGGAAGGGCACCACCAGGAGUGGAGCCUGCGGCUUAAUUUGACUCAACACGGGAAACCUCACCAGGCCCGGACACCGGAAGGAUUGACAGAUUGAGAGCUCUUUCUUGAUUCGGUGGGUGGUGGUGCAUGGCCGUUCUUAGUUGGUGGAGCGAUUUGUCUGGUUAAUUCCGAUAACGAACGAGACUCUGGCCUGCUAACUAGGCGUAUUUCCGACAUCUCGAAGGCCCGCCGGCCUGGUGUGCUCGUCACGCCUUGUCGUGCGCGGUUUUUACUGUCGGCGUACAAACAAUUCUUCUUAGAGGGACAGGCGGCGUCUAGCCGCACGAGAUAGAGCAAUAACAGGUCUGUGAUGCCCUUAGAUGUUCUGGGCCGCACGCGCGCUACACUGAAGGAAUCAGCGUGUCCUCCCUGGCCGAGCGGCCCGGGUAACCCGCUGAACCUCCUUCGUGCUAGGGAUUGGGGCUUGAAAUUGUUCCCCAUGAACGAGGAAUUCCCAGUAAGCGCGAGUCAUAAGCUCGCGUUGAUUACGUCCCUGCCCUUUGUACACACCGCCCGUCGCUACUACCGAUUGAAUGAUUUAGUGAGGUCUUCGGACCGGCACGCGGUGGCGUUUCGACGUCGCCGAUGCUGCUGGAAAGAUGACCAAACUUGAUCAUUU
Molecule: ribosomal RNA, 1431 nt
Filed under: Microtrichalus sp. UPOL MD0098
Lineage: Eukaryota; Metazoa; Arthropoda; Insecta; Coleoptera; Lycidae
Description: SSU rRNA
Rfam family: Eukaryotic small subunit ribosomal RNA
Source: RNAcentral